CACUAAAUGAAAAAAGGAACAUGACAGCUGAAUGAACAUACACCAAAAUGAUAUGAUGUUCAUAGUCUUAUGGUUUAAAAUAGCCCUUCCUUAGGGGGGUGGGGGAGGGUCACAAAAAGAAAAAACGUAUUUCCCUUAUCCACACCAUCACUCCCCACAUUUUACCAAAUAAUGUAGAUCCUGUAUUCUAGAUUUAUUCAAACACAAACAAUAGGGUAAGUCGCGCUAAACAGUAAAUAGAUCAUAAAUGGCAAAUCCCAGUGCGUCUAAAACCAAACCAGUGUUUUAGUCACCUUAAAAACACUUACAUUAGUACAAAUGGAUACAGGAAAAGGUAUCCAUUUGUACUAAUCAUAGGGCAAUAUGCAUAAACCAAUAACUGAUAUAGAAAAUGAUUAGGAGCGCUCACAUUUUAGAGAGCCAUAUAAGUCGGCUCUCUACUGUAGUAGCAUGUAGAAUACUCUGUACUGUAGUUGGAAUGGUCCCCCAGGAACAAGAAUCUGUCUGGAUACAAUCAGAAACCAAAAUAAAAUAUAAAUACGUUUGUACUAGUAUUUCACCUGAGGAAGACCCAUUUGAGUGGUCGAAAUGCGUUGUGCUUA
This is a non-coding RNA of Pelobates cultripes (western spadefoot toad), 602 nucleotides long. The record is from the annotation of a GenBank genome assembly. Lineage: Eukaryota; Metazoa; Chordata; Amphibia; Anura; Pelobatidae.